Long non-coding RNA from Peromyscus maniculatus bairdii (prairie deer mouse), 7682 nucleotides. RefSeq lists it as uncharacterized. NCBI's taxonomy places the organism in Eukaryota, Metazoa, Chordata, Mammalia, Rodentia, Cricetidae. The record is from RefSeq and is a predicted model, not a curated record.
GUGUGUCCAUCGUCGGUCCGCCGCCCCCGCCCCCUGCGAUGACUCCCGGCUCGCCGGGCUCCGUGGCCGCGCCCGGCAGACUCACGGCGCGUGGCCGGGCUGCUGGGCCAUGGCCUCCGGGUUCCGAGAGCUCAGGGUUGAGGGAUCCGGACUGAAGGGAGCUUUCCCUCCUGCUCUCAACACCUGAGGAAACUGGUGGAAAGUUUGAGAAAGAGAAGUCCAAUCGUCUUUCCGCUUCCGCCCUCCCUAGGACACUCCGGCCACGGGAAGGAGCAGGAAAUGUCCACCUCUCCGAAGGACCACCGCGAGCCACGCCAAUCCGGUCUCCUUGCAUCUGCCCUGACUCCUGAACCUAUGAGAACUUUUGCUGUUUCCACAGACCUCCCUGGGUUGUUCAGACCACACAGGCCUGUCUGACUACUCUGACACUCCAGAUGCAGCAGCACCCGGCCAGCCAGCCAGCCCUCCCAAGGUCCCCUCUGCAGGCUGUGUACGCAGACCCUAACUGCAACACUAAGAGGAAACUUGGGCUGGAGACCUGUGGCUACCCGGUGUGGGCUUUUCCAUCUCGCCAGAACACUUUUUUUUCUGUGCCUGUCUUCCUUGGCUUGCUAACUCUGCAGGUUGUUCACUCCCUUGUUUUGUGUGCCCUGGGACAAGCUCCGCAUUUGGCAUGGAUCUCUCUGCACGGUACUUGGGAAUUGUUGGUUGCGCACGGGGACCUUUCUGGCCAUAGCUGAGGAUUUCUCCAUUGUGGGGUGCAUUCCCAUAGCCAGCCCUUUUCCUGUGCUGAGUCACAAGUUGGCUUCUAGGAUCAGGAUUAAUAUGCAUUCAUCAAGUGGGUGGGUUAGGAAAGAAUGGGCUCAUAAUACACAGGGAAGUGCAUUGGAACACUCCAGAACAUUCAUUUCCUCCUCAGAACGUGUGGCAUUCUUUCUGCAGCCAGACAAGGGCCUUGUACUGGAAAGUCCCUGCUCUUAUCUGUAGGAAGCCACCAUCAGGAUGGCCAGGGAGUCACAUAUAUCUUCUGUGCCAGGAUGGAUUUCUCCCUUUAUUUGUGUCUAUAGCAACAACCUCAGCAGCGUAAUCACUUACUUAGUGGCUACUGCAUGCUGAGCACCAUACCAGUGUCUCGUAUUAAUGAUACCUUGUCAGUCAUCACAGCUACCUGUGGAAUUGAUAUUAUUGACUACCUAAGUCCAGGGAGGAUGAGAUGAGCUCCUGCAGUCACCCAGCGAGCAGGUAACGGAACUGGAAUUUCAGUGUGCUCACUUCCAAAGGUACUCUUUUUGUUUUCUCCCUCCACUGAAAACACCAAUGCAACAUCUUUUGCGGGUAGCCCAGCAUCUUCCCCUUGCGGUGGACACGGUGGAUGCUGAUUUAUGCCUUUACUCAUAGUCAGUUCUGAACCCAGAACUAGAAACAGUUUUACACUACAGAGCACUCAUGUAGACGAGGGGCAAGCGUCUCUUUGAUUAGUGAAUGCAUGGGUUCCUUGGAAGAGUGGAAGCCUCGUCAGAACCCUCAGGUUUGACAGGACAUCUGUCUCCAGCAAUACAGCGGAUAUAAACAGAGCAGCUGCCAGGCUCUCUGCUGGCUGAGCUUGUGCUUCUAUCGCAAACCUGUUUUUCUAAUAUAGUGCUCCACUAAAACCACCCCUACUUGGCACCAAAAGCAUGAAUAAAUCCAACCCAACCAACUGUUCUUCCAGUGGCUAAAUCAGUCCAUAAAAAUCUGUGUAGCACCUACUGUGUGUCCUGCAAUCUAACCCCACACCCUUGACGGAGACAGGAGGUAAGUCCCAGUUGCUGAAGUGUUCCUGGGACCACCUUACUCUGUGAUGGGUCACAUUUAAGCUGGGGACUAUUUAACUGCAUACCAUAGCUGAUAGUCAUCAUUUCACCCUGCUUAUUCACAGCACAGGGAUUAAGGCAACUAAGUAACAUUUUUUGAAUUGUUCUUGACAAGGAUUAAAAUAACAACAGCAUUAGCACAUAUUAUCACUUACUGUUCAUAUAUGGGGGAGGGUCUCCAGAUGGGAAGGGGGGGUCACAGAUAUCCCCAAGAGCAAGGCUGGUCAGGAUGGUUUCUUGGGAUGGGCAAGUUCUAGUAGAUCUGGGGUGGCUGGAGUAUUGGACUAAGGAACUCAUUCUGAAGACAGUUUCUGAAGCAUAACGCAUUUGCUAAAAGCUAUUGGGGGAGGGGUGAAAAUGAAAGUAUAAUUCCUCUGUUGCCUAAAUCAGUGAAAUAUUUAUUAUAUUCUAAAGCUCAGAAUGGCACUGGUGCUGUCUUUUUUUGGGGGGGGGAUUCUUAAUGGCAAGAAUUCAGCACCUUUUUUAGUACCACUUGUUUGCAGGUGGCAGGGGCGCUAAUUAAACAGAGCCCCUAACAAUUUUCCUGGGUGGCUCUGACUCCCAGACUGGCAGGAGACGUAGUCUGUGUGUUCCUGGGAUCAGCUUCUCUCCCCAUUGAUGCCGUGACGCAUCCACGCGGGGGAGGGCGUGGUGGUGGUGGAGGGACGCUGCCCAGAACAUAGUUAUUGGUUAAUGAAUUAUUUAUAAUGAUCAAGCUUCAACUUUACUUUUCAAUGUUUAAGAAGAGGCCAGUCUUUAUGGGAGAGUAUAAAAAUAAAACCCAAAUGAUGGGGAGGAUCUGGGAAGGGGAAUUUAAUUGCAUUUUGGAGGAUUCUUUGACUCACUGAAGCCUGUUCAGUACGGAUAAAAUUCAGGAGUCUUUUGAGAGAGGAUUGAGCCCCGAUGGCUCCUGACAUUUCUGAGCUGUUUUUAAGAAUAAAGAGGCAAUGAGCUUGCCUGACCCCCGCUGUGUUCCGGAGUCCAUUGAUGUCACUGUUUGUCAACUCCCUCUGGGUUUUUGGCAGGGCUGAAGGCUGGGAUCAUGUCAUGAUGGUCAUUCUGAAGCCCAGAAUUAGACCAGAGGCGGAACAGUAGCCUCUUAUAUAGAACAGGGACCCAGAUUGUUCCUGUUCUACUUAUCCAUUUAUUAUUUAUUACUCUUUGACAAUUUAAUACAUGCGUAUAGUAUAAUUCGGUCAUUUUUACCUUUCUUUCCCCUUUCUCAUUCCCUUCCCUUCCCACUCCUUCUUUCCAAGUCUUCCUUCCCCCCCCCCAUGUCAUUUGUUUGUUUGUUUGUUUUGAUUUUAGUGACCCGCUGGGUUUAAUUAGGGUUGUUUGCAGGAGCAUGGAUGGGAGGUUGUUUACUGGAGCAUGGCUAACUAAGCAGCAGCAACUGCGUUGAAGAAAAUGACUCACCCACCCCCAAUACCAUUAAUUGCCAAUUCUGGGCGAUGUAGGGCCUCGUGAGCCUUCCCCCACCCAUUCGGGGGUGUUGACGGGUCCCAUCUUGUGUGGGUCUUGUGCAGGUAACCACAGCGGCUGGGAAUUAUCAAUGCAAUGGUUAUGUCAUGUCAGAAGACCGAGUUCACGCCACUCUUUCCCAUCUUCCCACUCUUGUCAUCUUUUUGCCCCCUUUAUUCAAUAAAUAAAGCGGCGGUUCUCAACCUUCCUAAUGGUGAGACUCUUUAAUGCAGUUCUUCAUGCUGUGGGGACCCCUCCCCCGGACCAUAAAAUUAUUUUCAUUGCUACUGUUGUGAAUUGUAACGUUAAUAUCUGAUAAGCAACCCCUCUGGAAGGGUCAUGACCCACAGGUUGAGAACUUUAGUGCCAUGUUCCCUGGUCUUCACUAGGAUUCAUGCUGUCUGAUUGUAUGCCACAGUCUCUAUGUGCUUCGGAGGCAUAAGAGGCAGAGGCAUGAGCAUCUUAGUAUGGAGCUUUAGGCAGCAAAUCUCAUUUCUAUCCGCCAUUUAACGAACAGAGCCCUGGCCAAAGCUUUGUCUAAGGAGUUUCUGUUUGUCUUCACUCCCAAAGCAGAGAUAUCCUGUGGCAUAUAUACUAGUCACAGCCAGUCCUUCCUCCAGGGAGUGCAUCCUUUAUUUUCUCCACAAACGGAAAGCCUGAGAAUGAGAUGCCUAGCAGUCUGAGUUUGCAGUAUCAAACAUCUAAUGGUUCCAGCUGCUUGGGGGAGCCUUUGGAAUACGUAAAUUUUCACUUCCUCUUGUUCUCUAUUUCUGAAGCUGCGCCAUGCACUUCCGGUACACAGGAACCCGGGAGGAGGAACUCCUGAGCCAACAGCCCGUGGAAAGGUGAACGUCAACAACCUUGUGCAGAGGCCCCACUCUUGAAUCAAGGGUGACAGAGACAAACACAGGUACCUUGGAAGUUCAGUGUUGAAGACUGACAGAUCAUCAAACUUGAAGAAACCCUUGGAGAUGGCUGCCCACUGAUCUAGGACAUUCAUUUGGGUACUUGAUGAGAAUGAAAAAUAAAUUCUGUUCCUGAGCUACCACCAUGCACAUCGGGAUGAGUUUUAACACCUGCUCUUCCCUGAGCACAGCAAUUGACUCGGCCUCUGGGAAGAGAGUUGGAGAAAUAUAUAUAUUGGCAAGUUCCUCAGUUGAGUUCGAGAAUCAGUGCUGGAGGGCAAAGGAUACCCACGCCCUUGCAGACUUACAGAAGACCCAUGAACACAAUGCUAUUGGCCUUGUAGGAUGGGGAGGAGAGAGAAGAAGAACUUUGCCUCCUUAUCUCUGCCAAAGAGAACAAUCUGACUGAAAAGGAAGAGAGAACUUUGGUAAGGGAAAAUUGAAGUUUGAGAUGAGUAAAGAUAUUCUAACGGCACCAAGCUGCUGUAAUUGAGCUCAAGCCUCUUGGGCAGGACAAAUGGUACUCCAGGGAGUAGAGAGAGCUCACUACUGAAGAUGUAGUAUAGAUCUUCCUUCCACUGGCGAGGUUUAAGGAAUGUAGAGACUGAAAGAAACUGGAAUGCUAGCGAUGGCAAAACAGCUCUGCCUUUCAAAGAUGGGAAAGAGCUGGCAGCUCCAGAAGCAAGUUUCUCCUAUUCCUCCUCAUUAAAUUCCCUGAUCAGAGUAUUGAGGACGAUUCAUGAGCAUAUGAAAACAACAACCAACCAACCAACCAACCAACCAACCAACCAACCAGAGCAGAACUCUCUAGAAUCCAAAAGCAAAACUCCAAAAAAGUAGAUGUGUUCCCAGUUUUGUGGUAGGCUCAUGGACUGAUUAGUCUUUUUGUUCGAUGACACAAGCUACCAUCAUCUGGGAAGAGGGGACCUCAACUGAGAAAAUGCCUCACCGUGGACAAGUCUUGAUUAAUGGUUGAUGUGGGAGGUUCCAGAACACUGUAGGCAGUGACACCCCUGGGCAAGUAGUCCUAGGUUGUAUUAAGAGAAUCAGGCUGAGUAAACCAUGGGGAGCAAACCAGAAAGCACUUCUCCUCCUUCACUUCCUCUUUCCCGGAUCCUGUCCUGCUUGAGUUCUUGCCUUGGCUUCCCUCCGUGAUGGACUGUGAUUGGGAACCCUUUCCUCCCCCAAAAGCAGGUCAUGGUGUUUUAUCACAUCAUUAGAAAGCAAACAAAGGCAGCUUGUUAGAGUAUUAUGUCAGGGAGCUGUUUAGGCUAGGCAGACACAAAGCAUACCAAGGCUGGAUACUUAUUUGGGUAUCUCAUGAUGAAUUUGUGCACAAGAUGAGGUACAGUGGGCCUUCCACACUUGUGAGUAGGACAAACCAAGGAUCAUAGCUAUUGGGGGAAACCGUGUCUAUGUUGGCCAUGAAAGGAUUAAUAUUUUUGAUCAUUAUUCCCUAAGCACUACCACACAGUGACUAUUCAUUUACUUUGCAUUAGGUAUUAUAAGUGAUCUAGAGAUGAUACACCACGCAUAGGGGCACAUUCAUAGGUGGUAUGCGGUGAUGCCACUUUACAUAAGGGAUUUGAGCAUCUUUGGGUUUUGACUUUGCAAAGGUCCUAGAAUAUGUCCCAGGACAGCAGCAAACAACAGCUGUAGUUUUAACUGCAUACCGGAAUACCCAGUAGGAAGAUUUAGAGUUUCUUUAUGGCCAUACUCAAAUAUGCUGACUAAUGCCACUGUAAAAAAAAAAAACAAAAAAACAAAAAAACAAAAAAAACAUUUGGUAUCCUUACUAGAAUUAUAGAUAUCAAUGACUUCUUUCAUACUUAACAGAUUUUUAGAUAAAAUGCAGAAAAUACUUUUAUUGUCAUAAUAAGGCCCAAAGAAUAGACUAGAGCACUAAACUAAAUCUAAUGGUAUGAAAUGCAAGAAAGAAAUUGUAGCAUUAGACAUCUAAGCCUUAAAGAGUCCCCUGUGAGGUCAGGGUGAGAGCCAUCAGCUACAAUACAAGAGAGGACAUCAGCUACAAUACAAGAGAUUAUAGCACAUGAUGUCAUGGCGUCCGUUGGCCAUGUUGUUUACCUGCUCCAGUCAUAAAGCCCUUGAUGGUUUGAUUGAGGGACGCCUGAUGGAGGAGCAGUCUAGGUUCACUGGGAGUCAUGCCCUUUGUGGAAUUUAGUUAUGAUUUCCUUUCUGUAAGAUGCCUAAGAGAUCCAGAGGAUACCUACCAGAGUUUCACCUGGUAGAGAUGUGUUGGUGGGUAUCAGAACUUUCUUAUUUGAAAAGUAUCUGAAGAACUGAGGAAAAUGGGUCCAAUGUCCAGGAAGUGCAGAGGUUAAGUGAAGCCUCUGGGGUCAUCUGAGACCUGUACAUACUUAUCUGAAGGGGUGUCAGAAGCAACAAGGCUUAGGGAAAUGGCCUGGUGGGCAAUUGUGGUGCCUUUGAGAAUGAGCUCUCUAACCAUCUAUCAGCUGCCCACAAGGGAUGGGCUGUCUAUAGAGAAAGAGUGGAGAGCAGUCGACCCCUUUAUGAUGACUUAGAAGAGAAGACUGAUUGGCAUCCUUCCAGAUAUCAGUAGCUGCUAUUAUUGGCCACUAUUUCUAAGAACUUAAAGUGUACCUGGCAUUAGCCGAAGCAGGUUCAAAUGCUCUGCCUGGUUUUCUUGGGUGGUGUAGCAAAUUAGCAUGGUACCAUUGGCUUGAAACAUGGCACAUGUAUUAUCUUACAUGGGAACUCUAAACUUAAAGCGUCUUUAGCACAGGCCCUUCAGCAUACUCCAGGGGAGAACCCUUUCUCUUGCUUCUCAAGCUUCAAGGGUCUCCCUACAUCCUGUGGCUCCUGGUCCUUUCUCUGCCUUCAAGGCUCACAGCAACACAAAAUCAUGAUUUUUGCCUUGUCUGAUUCUGACCUUCCAGCCUUCGCUCAGAGGGGGCUCUUGGUACUAUAUAGAUCCAUCUGGAUAGUCAUAAUUUAUCAUUAAAUUUCAAGGUAUUGAAACCAUAUCUGUGCAGUUCCUUUUUCAUGUAAAGUAAGAUGAUCCCAGCUUUGGGGGAAUUAGGAAUUAACAGCAUAAUUUAGAGAGCCGUUAUUCUGUCUACCCCCAGCCCUUUUGUAUAUUGACUCAUUUAACUUAUGGUCUCAUUGCUCUUGAGAGUUGGGUAUCGUUUCCACUCAAACAGAGAGAAACAGCUCAGGGAAGGUAAAUAGACCCACGGCAGUGCCAUGCUCAGAUGUGGCUGGGAUCUGAACCUGACUCUAGCCCAGUGCCAGUCCUGAACCACCGUGAGUUGUACCACUGGGUGGGUUAUCCUGGGCUCAGCCAGAAAUUUCAAGCCCUCACAAUCGCUUUUCUUUCAUCGUGUUAAUUUACUCAUGACGUUAUUGUGGUCUAUUUUUUUUCUAAACUGUACCGUGAAGUCAGGCACGUCUGGCUAAUAUUAAAUUUAACCGGUUUCUCCUC